Molecule: long non-coding RNA, 266 nt
Filed under: Elaeis guineensis (African oil palm)
Lineage: Eukaryota; Viridiplantae; Streptophyta; Magnoliopsida; Arecales; Arecaceae
Description: long non-coding RNA (EGUI_LNC012840)
Source: RNAcentral
GGGUGUUUAUAAUGGUUGCUUUUAGUUUGUUUUGCUCAUAACGUUCUUAGGUGCAAUUCUUCUUUAUUUAUCUUAGUUCAAAUCAGCAUCACCUUAACCAUGUCAUAGUAUGGAUGAUCGGAUAAACAAGAAGGACCUUCAUCCUUCUUAGAACGAGAGAGAAAGGCCAUUUGCUUCUCUCUUCUCAUAAUUGAUGAGGCACGCUCACUUCUAUUUUAGAAAAAAGAAAGGAAAGUUAGAAAUGAAAGCAAACAAAUUGGAGAGCA